This is a long non-coding RNA of Anolis carolinensis (green anole), 3230 nucleotides long. RefSeq lists it as uncharacterized. The transcript is spliced from 4 exons. Lineage: Eukaryota; Metazoa; Chordata; Lepidosauria; Squamata; Anolidae. The record is from RefSeq and is a predicted model, not a curated record.
AUUAAAGCUGUUGGCUGUAACUCAGCAUGCUCUGACAGCAUAUAUAAGACCAAGUAGUAAAACCAAAGGAGGGGAAAUGGAAUUAUCCUUUGUAAGAGGGAACUUUUCAAAAGGCUGUGGAUCGGUUUGACAGUCCAAACAGCUGAUCAGUUGUUUUGGGCUUUUAAAAAGGGACCGACAUCAGCUGGAGUAGUCUCCACAGGGGAGACGGAAGAAAAUCUCAUUGACUGAACCCACCCAAAACCUGAUUUUUGCUCCGGAAGAAGCCUGACAACUCACUUUCCAAAUGAAUGCUCAAGGCCAGGCGCAGAGUGUCACAUCCUUGACUUCCAUCUCAGACAGGAGCAAUGAGAGCCAAUAGGCGCGUGUGGCGAUGUACCCACAAUCAGGACACUGUGAAACGGAAACUAGAAACACUGGUGUGUGUUCCCCUCAAAAGCCAAAGUUCACACGUUGCUAAGCCUAUAAUUUUGUCUCUGGACAGGAUGAGAUAAACUCCUUUCCAGGAAACAUGAUUCACUUUUGAGGUGGAAAUGUAUUUAAAGAGUUUAUCUUGGUACCAGAAUCCUCAGCCAGCAGGAAUUCAAAGAGCUACAGUCCAGGCUCUGUGUGUAAUUUAAUGGCAUCCUCUAUUGAUUUUUGAUCUCACUUGAGGCAGAAAAAGACCUUGAUCCUUGCAACUGCAGCUGUUUUAUCAUCUGAAAAAAAAGACAUACAGACAGGCCACAACUUAAAGUCUGCCUGCUGUUCAUGAGUCCAUGAUCACUCCAGAGGUGGAUUUUUUUAAUUAAAAAAAAAAACAGUUGCAAAGAACAUGUUACGUACAUGGAUAGAAUUAAAAUAGCACACCUAAGAAGUCCUUGAGGUAUUGUAAAUACAUCUCAAUUUGGCCAAUUUGGCCUUUUUGGUCAAAAAAAGAACAUUUAUCUUUUUUGAAGCUAAGCACAGUAAGAUGGAAAUUAGACUGAUUUCCUGUAUCCACCAAGUGGGAAUCCUAUUUCCUGGACAAAGUAUAUGCAUAUACACAACUUCUUUGUAUGUACAGUGUGCCUAUGCAAUCUUCUGGUGGGUUGUAUAGUCCUCUAUAUUUCUAGAAAUUGAACCAUCAUUUCAGAAAUGCUAUUGUCAUUUUAAGGAAACAUGAGGAAAAUAAAUUUGAUAUCAUAUUCUACUCUCCUCUCCAAAAAUACUAAAGAUUUUUCAAAACAGAGAGAACAUGUUCACACAUUUUAAACAUUAUUCUGGAAUGAAGACAUUAAAGGUAUUAUUUCAUUAUAACAAAAACCUCUUAGAUAAAAUAGGAUGAGAGGGGCUAUAGUUUGUUUUGGUAGAAAAUUACAAUUCCUAUCUGGAUACAAUGUGCAAUUUCACAAAGGGGUUACUAGGAUAUGAGCUUAAAAUUGUUGAUGAACAAGUUACUUACUUAGGCAAUUCCUCAUUGUCAGAGUAUGAUGGCCUUCCAAAUGUAGGGUUUUUGUUUUUUUUUAAGAUGCCUGUGCAUGAGUUUUUUAAAUGCAUGGAGGUUGGUGCACAGCCAAUCAACACACAGUCUUCACAGAGUGAGGGUCCCAACCAGUGGCAUGGUUAACAUGAUGACAACGGCUUCUCAAUCUGUUGCAGCCUUAUUCCGCCUUCACAGCCGUUGUAACAUAUACCAUGCUAUCUUCGUUCGUGACUGCCUUUCCCCCAGGGGAGGCUCUCCUCUCAUGCCGUCCAACAUCACAGGUUCAGUUGGUGGGGAUGAGGGAGAGAGCCUUCUCUGUGGUGGCCCCUCGGCUCUGGAACUCCCUCCCCAGAGAGAUUAGGCAGGCCCCAACCCUGUCUGCUUUUAUUAAACAACUUAAGACAUGGUUCUUUCAGCAUGCUUUCAAUUAAAUAAGACACUACAGACCCCUUGACAACCAUUCUGCUAUCCUGCACUUUAUCUCUGGUCCCACCCUAUCCUAACCCUAACGUCAUCUUAGGAAACCUUGGAACAUUGACAAGGCACUUUUUGGAAUAACCUAGUUAUUACGUACUUUGCUUUGACCCUGCUUUAUUCCUUUUGUCCCUUUGGUGGUGAAACUGAUAUUGUUUAAAAACUUUUUGUCUUGUAUUUAUGUAUAAACUGUGCUUGAAUUUGUUUUUGAUUUUAUACUGCUUGUUAUUUUAUUGUUCUGUUUUGUAUUUUAACUUGUCUACACUUUUGUCUUUUCUGGGCUUAGCCCCAUGUUAGCCGCCCCGAGUCCCUUUGUGGAGAUACAAAGAUAAAUAUUUUAUUAUUAUUAUUAUUAUUAUUAUUAUUAUUAUUAUUAUUAUUAUUAUUUAUUCCGCCUGAUCCACCAUUGAGAUCUUCAGGUCUUCAGAUUGUGCUUGGUCUGGAACCUCUGCUGCGACCCCUCCUGGGGGUACAUGUCUCCAAUGGUUACGCCCACAGGUUCAUUGGAACACACAAGCCCCCUCACCACGACAAGGGGGGAGGGGGACUGUCAUCUUGUUACACUUUAUUAAUUGCACUUUGAAAAAGUUGCGAAUAGAGAUGUCAUAUUCUAGUUACCUAUAUCCAGGAAAUACAUUUUUCAGAGUGUAGAUGCAGUCUGAAGGAGUUUUCAUAUUUACAAAGUGGGCUUAAAUCAGGUAUGGGCAUGUAAAGAAGUGUGUGUUUUUGUUUUGAUUUAUGGAUGACAUGUUUGUUUGAUUUUGUUUUAGAAGUCAUGUUUGGCUAAGUUUAAAAUGGGUAAGUAUUUGAGUUAAUAAUAAAUGGGUGAAGGUAACCAGCUCAGCAUUCUGAGGCAGGUUACCAUAGCAACGGGGGCGGAGCCAACCGCUGUUUGGAAAAGAAAAGGAGGGAAUGUUUUAAACCCAGGUCAGUCUGUGAUUAUUAGUCACAGGGAAGACACUGGUUCCAAGUUUAAGGAAACCAGGGAAGUUAAAAUCUUAGUCUGUGAUUUUUAGUCACAGGAGAUAGACUGGUUUCAGGAUUAGGGAAACCAGGGAGCAGACCUCUAAUACAGCCAGACUAAGCAAGUUGGGUGACUUGUUUAGGGUUAAGUGUAGAGGCUGUGAAGUAAAGGGAAGUGAUCCCAGUAGAUCCAAGUGAUCGGUUUAUAGUUUGGUUUUGAGAGAAGAAAGUAUUUUGAAAGUUAGAACACCUCAACAUCUAUUUGUAACAGUUAUUUAAGUGCCUUAAAGAAAUUAUUGAAACCACUAAGCUUUGUGCAUGAAAUAAACUUGUUUUGUUCUUUAAACCA